RNAcentral lists this ribosomal RNA (492 nucleotides) under uncultured bacterium. RNAcentral describes it as "partial 16S ribosomal RNA". It matches the Rfam family "Bacterial small subunit ribosomal RNA", at positions 29 to 507 of the family's 1533-position model. The record is from RNAcentral.
AGUGAACGCUGGCGGUAGGCCUAACACAUGCAAGUCGAACGGCAGCACAGUAAGAGCUUGCUCUUACGGGUGGCGAGUGGCGGACGGGUGAGGAAUACAUCGGAAUCUACUUUUUCGUGGGGGAUAACGUAGGGAAACUUACGCUAAUACCGCAUACGACCUACGGGUGAAAGCAGGGGAUCUUCGGACCUUGCGCGAUUGAAUGAGCCGAUGUCGGAUUAGCUAGUUGGUGGGGUAAAGGCCAACCAAGGCGGCGAUCCGUAGCUGGUCUGAGAGGAUGAUCAGCCACAUGGGAACUUAGACACCGUCAAUACUCCUGAGGGAGGCCGCAGUCGGGAAUAUUGGACAAUGGGCGCAAGCCUGACCCAGCCAUACCGCGUGGGUGAAGAAGGCCCUCGGGUUGGAAAGCCCUUUUGUUGGGAAAGAAAAGCAGCAGGUUAAGACCCCGCGGUUCUGACGGUACCCAAAGAAUAAGCACCGGCUAACUACGUG